AGAGUUUGAUCAUGGCUCAGAACGUACGCUGGCGGCACGCCUAACACAUGCAAGUCGAACGAAGUAGCAAUACUUAGUGGCAGACGGGUGAGUAACAUGUGGGUAUCUGCCCUUUGGCCUGGAAUAACACGAGGAAACUUGUGCUAAUACCGGAUAAGUCUUUACGGAGAAAGCUUUAUGCACCAUUGGAUGAGCCUGCACUUGAUUAGUUUGUUGGUGGGGUAAUGGCCUACCAAGACUGUGAUCAAUAGCUGAUUUGAGAGGAUGAUCAGCCACAUUGGGACUGAGACACGGCCCAAACUCCUACGGGAGGCAGCAGUGGGGAAUCUUGCACAAUGGAGGAAACUCUGAUGCAGCGAUGCCGCGUGAGUGAAGAAGGCCCUUGGGUUGUAAAGCUCUUUCGUCGGGGAAGAAAAUGACUGUACCCGAAUAAGAAGGUCCGGCUAACUUCGUGCCAGCAGCCGCGGUAAUACGAAGGGACCUAGCGUAGUUCGGAAUUACUGGGCUUAAAGAGUUCGUAGGUGGUUGAAAAAGUUAGUGGUGAAAUCCCAGAGCUUAACUCUGGAACUGCCAUUAAAACUUUUCAGCUAGAGUAUGAUAGAGGAAAGCAGAAUUUCUAGUGUAGAGGUGAAAUUCGUAGAUAUUAGAAAGAAUACCAAUUGCGAAGGCAGCUUUCUGGAUCAUUACUGACACUGAGGAACGAAAGCAUGGGUAGCGAAGAGGAUUAGAUACCCUCGUAGUCCAUGCCGUAAACGAUGUGUGUUAGACGUUGGAAAUUUAUUUUCAGUGUCGCAGGGAAACCGAUAAACACACCGCCUGGGGAGUACGACCGCAAGGUUAAAACUCAAAUGAAUUGACGGGGACCCGCACAAGUAGUGGAGCAUGUGGUUUAAUUCGAAGAUACGCGCAGAACCUUACCAACACUUGACAUGUUCGUCGCGACUUUAAGAGAUUAGAGUUUUCGGUUCGGCCGGACGAAACACAGGUGCUGCAUGGCUGUCGUCAGCUCGUGUCGUGAGAUGUUGGGUUAAGUCCCGCAACGAGCGCAACCCUCACUUUUAGUUGCCAUCAUUAAGUUGGGCACUCUGAAAGAACUGCCAGUGAUAAGCUGGAGGAAGGUGGGGAUGACGUCAAGUCCUCAUGGCCCUUACGUGUUGGGCUACACACGUGCUACAAUGGUAUCUACAACAGGAAGCAAGACUGCGAAGUUAAGCAAAUCCCUAAAAGAUACCUCAGUUCGGAUUGCACUCUGCAACUCGAGUGCAUGAAGCUGGAAUUACUAGUAAUCGUGGAUCAGCGUGCCACGGUGAAUGCGUUCCCGGGUCUUGUACACACCGCCCGUCACACCAUGGGAGUUGGUUCUACCUUAAGGCAAGGUUUCAAACCCUUGACCACGGUAUAGUCAGCGACCUGGGGUGAAGUCGUAACAAGGUA
This 1434-nucleotide ribosomal RNA is filed under the name uncultured bacterium. RNAcentral's name for it is "bacterial SSU rRNA". It matches the Rfam family "Bacterial small subunit ribosomal RNA". The record is from RNAcentral.